Molecule: ribosomal RNA, 440 nt
Filed under: uncultured bacterium
Lineage: Bacteria
Description: partial 16S ribosomal RNA
Rfam family: Bacterial small subunit ribosomal RNA
Source: RNAcentral
CCUACGGGGGGCAGCAGUGGGGAAUAUUGCACAAUGGGGGAAACCCUGAUGCAGCGACGCCGCGUGAGUGAAGAAGUAUUUCGGUAUGUAAAGCUCUAUCAGCAGGGAAGAAAAUGACGGUACCCGACUACGAAGCCCCGGCUAACUACGUGCCAGCAGCCGCGGUAAUACGUAGGGGGCAAGCGUUAUCCGGAUUUACUGGGUGUAAAGGGAGCGUAGACGGCGAGACAAGUCAGAAGUGAAAGCCCCGGGCUCAACCCUGGGACUGCUUUUGAAACUGCCGGGCUGGAGUGCGGGAGAGGGAAGCGGAAUUCCUAGUGUAGCGGUGAAAUGCGUAGAUAUUAGGAGGAACACCAGUGGCGAAGGCGGCUUACUGGACUGUAACUGACGUUGAGGCUCGAAAGCGUGGGGAGCAAACAGGAUUAGAUACCCGAGUAGUC